UGUCCCACCUCGGGGUGCCCCUGGCGGGGCUGAGACGCGUGAUGCGGACCCGUUGAACCUGAACCGGUUGAUACCGGCGGAGGGAAGGUCGGUAUCCGCUGC
RNAcentral lists this non-coding RNA (102 nucleotides) under Palleronia salina. Its description in RNAcentral is "Maribius salinus TPP sequence". It matches the Rfam family "TPP riboswitch aptamer (THI element)". Rfam says of the family: Vitamin B(1) in its active form thiamin pyrophosphate (TPP) is an essential coenzyme that is synthesised by coupling of pyrimidine and thiazole moieties in bacteria. The record is from Rfam by way of RNAcentral. Lineage: Bacteria; Pseudomonadati; Pseudomonadota; Alphaproteobacteria; Rhodobacterales; Roseobacteraceae.